GAUGAACGCUGGCGGCGUGCCUAAUACAUGCAAGUCGAACGAACAGACGAGGAGCUUGCUCCUCUGACGUUAGCGGCGGACGGGUGAGUAACACGUGGAUAACCUACCUAUAAGACUGGGAUAACUUCGGGAAACCGGAGCUAAUACCGGAUAAUAUAUUGAACCGCAUGGUUCAAUAGUGAAAGACGGUUUUGCUGUCACUUAUAGAUGGAUCCGCGCCGCAUUAGCUAGUUGGUAAGGUAACGGCUUACCAAGGCAACGAUGCGUAGCCGACCUGAGAGGGGGAUCGGCCACACUGGAACUGAGACACGGUCCAGACUCCUACGGGAGGCAGCAGUAGGGAAUCUUCCGCAACGGGCGAAAGCCUGACGGAGCAACGCCGCGUGAGUGAUGAAGGUGUUCGGAUCGUAAAACUCUGUUAUUAGGGAAGAACAAAUGUGUAAGUAACUAUGCACGUCUUGACGGUACCUAAUCAGAAAGCCACGGCUAACUACGUG
RNAcentral lists this ribosomal RNA (497 nucleotides) under uncultured bacterium. RNAcentral's name for it is "partial 16S ribosomal RNA". It matches the Rfam family "Bacterial small subunit ribosomal RNA", at positions 28 to 507 of the family's 1533-position model. The record is from RNAcentral.